Molecule: ribosomal RNA, 372 nt
Filed under: uncultured organism
Description: bacterial SSU rRNA
Rfam family: Bacterial small subunit ribosomal RNA
Source: RNAcentral
CGGAGGGGGCUAGCGUUGUUCGGAAUUACUGGGCGUAAAGGGCGCGCAGGCGGCUGCUCAAGUCAGGCGUGAAAGGCCUGGGCUCAACCCGGGAAUUGCGCUUGAGACUGGGCUGGCUUGAGUGCGGGAGAGGGUGGUGGAAUUCCCAGUGUAGAGGUGAAAUUCGUAGAUAUUGGGAAGAACACCGGUGGCGAAGGCGGCCAUCUGGACCGCAACUGACGCUGAGGCGCGAAAGCGUGGGGAGCAAACAGGAUUAGAUACCCUGGUAGUCCACGCCGUAAACGAUGAGUGCUAGACGUUGGGGAGCCUAGCUUUCCGGUGUCGCAGCUAACGCACUAAGCACUCCGCCUGGGGAGUACGGCCGCAAGGUUA